GAGCUCUUUUCACAUUGUGCUACUGUCUGCACCCGUCACGAGCAGUGCAAUGUUAAAAGGGCAU
This 64-nucleotide microRNA precursor is filed under the name Octodon degus (degu). Its description in RNAcentral is "microRNA 130a (ENSODEG00000021774.1)". It matches the Rfam family "mir-130 microRNA precursor family", at positions 10 to 73 of the family's 83-position model. Rfam says of the family: The hairpin precursors (represented here) are predicted based on base pairing and cross-species conservation -- their extents are not known. In this case the mature sequence is excised from the 3' arm of the hairpin. Lineage: Eukaryota; Metazoa; Chordata; Mammalia; Rodentia; Octodontidae. The record is from RNAcentral.